UGCCCGCUUUCAGCUUUGAUGCCAAAGGAAAUUGCUGGAUGACAUUGCUGUGCUGCUCGAGGCAGGGCUGGGGGAGUAAGAUUAUUCUCCUGGAUGGCCCAGCUCAAAGGGAAGGUUUCUGUUUGAGGCACAAUCACCUAAGAAAACCGCUCCCUCUCCUUCCACAAAAUCAAAUCGCCCCUCAGUUAGGAGAAAAUGUGCCAGGCGAUCAGGGAAGAUGGAUGCAGCGAGGAACACGUGUGGUGGGGGGACGUGAUGAGCUGACGGCUUGUUUACUGAGAGCAGGAGACCUGCCAAUUUUUCUUGUCUGAGUGCAGGCUUGUUUACAGAGCCCUAAUGCAGGGAGAGGGAUCCUUGAACCCGCAGCUGCUGCCCUGGCACCGCGGAGGCCGUGCGGGGUUUUAGCUAUGCCGCUUUGAGCGAAGUAUUUUUACUUUAGCCUUUGAGAUGUGCCGGAACACUAGCUGGAGAGAGCAGCCUCUUCUGAAGGCAGGCGACUUGGACGCGUUUGUGCCAGGGGUGUUUGACCCUUCCCUGGGGGGGUCUCAAGGACCCCGAGCGAUGGAGGACUCCUCCCCACCUCUAAGAUGCUCACUCGGGGCCCGCCCUGGAUCAGUCUGCGGAGGGUUCU
Long non-coding RNA from Grus americana (Whooping crane), 631 nucleotides. RefSeq lists it as uncharacterized. The transcript is spliced from 3 exons. The record is from RefSeq and is a predicted model, not a curated record. Lineage: Eukaryota; Metazoa; Chordata; Aves; Gruiformes; Gruidae.